GGAUUGUGACUCAGUGGUAGAGCACUUGCCUGGCAUGAGAGAGGAACUGGGUUCGAUUCUCAGCACCA
RNAcentral lists this transfer RNA (68 nucleotides) under Marmota monax (woodchuck). RNAcentral's name for it is "tRNA.Ala". The record is from RNAcentral. Lineage: Eukaryota; Metazoa; Chordata; Mammalia; Rodentia; Sciuridae.